Molecule: small nucleolar RNA, 138 nt
Organism: Tachyglossus aculeatus (Australian echidna)
Lineage: Eukaryota; Metazoa; Chordata; Mammalia; Monotremata; Tachyglossidae
Source: RefSeq, a predicted model, not a curated record
CCCCUCUCCGGGUCACACCUGGAGAGUUUCCAGUCCUCUACCAGUCUCGACUAAAGGAGGGAGAGUCAAGCAGAGGAAUACCCAUUCCGUUCCCAGCUUGGGCAGUGGCUAGUAAGUGGAAGGCAAUCUGUUACGAGU